RNAcentral lists this microRNA precursor (209 nucleotides) under Oryza rufipogon (brownbeard rice). RNAcentral describes it as "MIR812 microRNA precursor family". It matches the Rfam family "MIR812 microRNA precursor family". Lineage: Eukaryota; Viridiplantae; Streptophyta; Magnoliopsida; Poales; Poaceae. The record is from Rfam by way of RNAcentral.
AAUAAGUGCAGUUUUAGCACUGUUCAUGUUCAACGUUUGACCGUUCGUCUUAUUUGAAAAAAGAUUAUGAUUAGUAUUUUUAUUGUUAUUAAAUGAUAAAACAUGAAUAGUACUUUAUGUGUGACUAAUUUUUUAAUAUUUUUAAUAAAUUUUUUAAAUAAGACGGAUGGUCAAAGUGCUAAACACGGAUAUCUAUGGCUGCAUUUAUU